GAUGAACGCUGGCGGCGUGCCUAAUACAUGCAAGUCGAGCGAACGGACGAGAAGCUUGCUUUUCUGAUGUUAGCGGCGGACGGGUGAGUAACACGUGGAUAACCUACCUAUAAGACUGGGAUAACUUCGGGAAACCGGAGCUAAUACCGGAUAAUAUUUUGAACCGCAUGGUUCAAAAGUGAAAGACGGUCUUGCUGUCACUUAUAGAUGGGUCCGCGCUGCAUUAGCUAGUUGGUAAGGUAACGGCUUACCAAGGCAACGAUGCAUAGCCGACCUGAGAGGGUGAUCGGCCACACUGGAACUGAGACACGGUCCAGACUCCUACGGGAGGCAGCAGUAGGGAAUCUUCCGCAAUGGGCGAAAGCCUGACGGAGCAACGCCGCGUGAGUGAUGAAGGUCUUCGGAUCGUAAAACUCUGUUAUUAGGGAAGAACAUAUGUGUAAGUAACUGUGCACAUCUUGACGGUACCUAAGCAGAAAGCCACGGCUAACUACGU
This 496-nucleotide ribosomal RNA is filed under the name uncultured bacterium. Its description in RNAcentral is "partial 16S ribosomal RNA". It matches the Rfam family "Bacterial small subunit ribosomal RNA", at positions 28 to 506 of the family's 1533-position model. The record is from RNAcentral.